This 468-nucleotide ribosomal RNA is filed under the name uncultured bacterium. RNAcentral describes it as "partial 16S ribosomal RNA". It matches the Rfam family "Bacterial small subunit ribosomal RNA", at positions 28 to 507 of the family's 1533-position model. The record is from RNAcentral.
GACGAACGCUGGCGGCGUGCUUAACACAUGCAAGUCGAACGGAAAGGCCCUGCUUUUGUGGGGUGCUCGAGUGGCGAACGGGUGAGUAACACGUGAGCAACCUGCCCUUGACUUUGGGAUAACUUCAGGAAACUGGGGCUAAUACCGGAUAGGAGCUCCUGCUGCAUGGUGGGGGUUGGAAAGUUUCGGCGGUUGGGGAUGGACUCGCGGCUUAUCAGCUUGUUGGUGGGGUAGUGGCUUACCAAGGCUUUGACGGGUAGCCGGCCUGAGAGGGUGACCGGCCACAUUGGGACUGAGAUACGGCCCAGACUCCUACGGGAGGCAGCAGUGGGGAAUAUUGCACAAUGGGCGGAAGCCUGAUGCAGCAACGCCGCGUGCGGGAUGACGGCCUUCGGGUUGUAAACCGCUUUCGCCUGUGACGAAGCGUGGGUGACGGUAAUGGGUAAAGAAGCACCGGCUAACUACGUG